UACGUAGGUGGCAAGCGUUGUCCGGAAUUACUGGGUGUAAAGCGCGUGUAGGCGGCAGGCCAAGUCUGCGGUGAAAGCGCCCGGCUCAACUGGGCGAGGUCCGUGGAAACUGGUCAGCUGGAGGACGGUAGAGGCGAGUGGAAUUCCCGGUGUAGUGGUGAAAUGCGUAGAGAUCGGGAGGAACACCUGUGGCGAAGGCGGCUCGCUGGGCCGGUCCUGACGCUGAGACGCGAAGGCGUGGGGAGCGAACGGG
This 253-nucleotide ribosomal RNA is filed under the name uncultured bacterium. Its description in RNAcentral is "partial 16S ribosomal RNA". It matches the Rfam family "Bacterial small subunit ribosomal RNA", at positions 524 to 776 of the family's 1533-position model. The record is from RNAcentral.